CCUGCCCUUCCGCCUUUUCUAUCUCUUAAGGAAUAGCAAAUGCUUCACACGAUUUUCAUACCCUCACUCUCAGAUUCCCUCACUAUUUAAACCUUCCCCGACUAAGUGUGGGACCCGGCCUUAGCAGCCAAAGUCAUUAAUCCAUACCUAUUGUCCUUCAAAACCAAGAAAUUGUUUCAGCUCCAAACCAAACUGAUAGAACUCCGGCCAAGCUCACUUAUUUCCUUGGCAUUGAAGUGUCAUAUCCACUAGAAAGGGGUUUAUUUCCGUCUUAGGAGAAAUACAUUACUGAUUUACUACACAAAACAAAGAUGUUUAAAGCAAAUGAAAUUGCCACCCCAAUGAUCAGCUCUCCAAUACACUCAGCUACUGGCAGUGAAUCCUUUGCAGACCCUCAUUUAUACAUAAGUACUGUAGGAGCUCUUCAAUAUGCCACUAUCACAAGACUAGAAAUUGCCUACUCAGUCAAUCGUGUUUGCCAGAAGCAUAAGCCAACAAUUUUUUCAUUGGAAAGCAGUGAAGAGAAAUCUGAGAUAUCUAAAAGGCACAUCCCAAUCAAGUCUGUAUUUGAGAAAACCAACUCAUUUCAAUGUUCAACCGUUUGCUGAUGCUAAUUGGGCUUCAGAUCCAAAUGAUAGAAGAUCCACUUCAGGCUUAUGCAUCUACUUUGGUGGAAACUUAAUAACUUGGGGUUCCAAGAAACAGCAAACAUAGAUCUAGCACUGAAGCUGAAUUCAGAUGUCUUGCUACUGCUACUCAAGAACUUAUAUGGAAUUCAUUGUUCAAAGAAUUGAAAACUCAACUACCAAAACCACCUAUCCUAUGGUGUGACAACCUUGGAGCUGUUCACUUAAGCGCUAAUCCCAUUUUACACUUAAGAACAAAGCAUGUAAAGAUAGACAUACACUUUGUUAGAGAUCUGGUUAUGCAGCGGAAAAUGCUCAUUCAACAUCUUCCAACUACGACAUAGAUUACAUAUAUUCACCGAGCCUCUGUCUGCACAUUCAUUUCUUCCUCUAAGGACAAAAUUAUGUGUUAUAAAUGCUGCAAACAUAGGCUUGAGGGCGGAUAUUAAGGCGAUCCAUUAAAGAGUUGGUUAUAACUGUUGAUGUAAAUUCUGUUUUUAUUGUUUUAAGAACUACUUCUUAUAUAUUGGAUAGUUCUUCAAUCACAAUCCAAUAAGAAAAUAUUCUUUCGUGAUUGC
Molecule: long non-coding RNA, 1204 nt
Organism: Cucumis melo (muskmelon)
Lineage: Eukaryota; Viridiplantae; Streptophyta; Magnoliopsida; Cucurbitales; Cucurbitaceae
Exons: 2
Source: RefSeq, a predicted model, not a curated record